Neofelis nebulosa (Clouded leopard) is the source of this 2155-nucleotide long non-coding RNA. RefSeq lists it as uncharacterized. The transcript has 4 exons. The record is from RefSeq and is a predicted model, not a curated record. NCBI's taxonomy places the organism in Eukaryota, Metazoa, Chordata, Mammalia, Carnivora, Felidae.
UCCUGCGCUCCUUUAGAUAAAGUGGUGUUGUGGUGCCUCCCAGCGCUUGGAAGUUUAAGUGUUCCUGGAGGGUAUUUUUACAGGAGGUCGGAACUGAAUUCCAGACACUAUCCCGGACUGUCAUCCACUCCUUUCUACGAAGCCAGGCGGAAGGUCCACUGUGCACCCAAAGCCGUGCCAAGAAGUAGAAAACAAUACUGGUCUAAGCCCUCAAGUUUUCGUCCAACGAGGGAUCAAGAAAGUAUUACUGGAAUUAGCACAGCGACCAUCAGCUGCUUCAGACCUGACCAUGCCUGUACCUAUUUCUUCCCUCAUGCUCAGCUGAGUGUCCCAGACCAGGGCAGACGCUUUGCUGGCCACGGAUGACCACAAUGAUGAAAGAGAGUGAACAGGAGCUACUGUCUAAGCAGCUUUGUUACGAAGCUACAAAUCUAAGAUAAAAAUCUGAAGACAGUCUGUGGAAUAUUACUUUGUAGAAGACAAGAAACUUAGUAGGAAAAUCAUGAACAAACAUGUACUUUGCGAUGAGUUUUGGACUGUAAGUCAAAGAAUGUCUGUUUUUGUUAUUUUUUUAACAUAAACAGGCAUUUGCCUUAUUUAAUUAUGACCAAGGAAAAUCUUCCUCUAAGAAAUCCAGAUGCAAGAGACUGUCCUUUUGGACCCAAGACAAUGUCGCACUUUUGAUAUCAGAGGUAGAUGGGUGUUCCUGGGAUAUUUAAAUCAGGUUAGAGAAAAUGUCUGGUGGUGCUCAAGUGUAGACACAGGUUUGACAGAAGAACACAGCUUUACCCUACAACGCUCAACAUGCCUGAGGCUAGUGUUCAUGUCGGUCUAUGUGCUACCUCUACGUAUGCCCCGUGAAUGCGGUUGAUUUUUAACCUGAGUUACUACCUCUAACAUUACUUUAAAAAAAUUUUUUUUAACAUUUAUUUAUUAUUGAGAGACAGAGAGAGACAGAGCAUGAGCAGGGGAGGGGCCGAGAGACGGGGAGACACAGAAUCUGAAGCAGGCUCCAGGCUGGGAGCUGUCAGCACAGAGCCCGACGCGGGGCUCAAAUUCACAAACCACGAGAUCGUGACCUGAGCCGAAGUUGGAGGCUUAACCGACAGAGCCACCCAGGUGCCCCUAACAUUACUUUAACUUAUUUUUUUCCUAUGAAAGAACUUUGGUGGGGGAACAGGGGAAGAAGGAAGGCGAAAGGGAUACUCAGAGAAAUUUCCCCAAGAUUGAACAGGUGACGAUACAUCCUGCUUGCUUCCUUGCUGCUGCUGACACUGUGAUGUUUCAGUAAUCGGUUGGUAUAUGGAAGGGACUCAGACUGGUCCACCAUUAAAAAAAUGUUAAAAAGCCAGUUUUAUGUGAAAUUUGGGAUGGCAUCCUAAACCCAGAUUCUUUUUAGUGGCAGCUCUGUCAGUCUUCAAUCCUUUGAAUACUUUUUUUUUCUUAUCUAGACUCCGGGAUAAUACUUCCCUUUCAGUGAUGUACUACAACACAGGGAUUUAUUAUACAUUACAAAACAUUACUACAGUGUAUUAAAACCAUGUAAUAAAUACAGCACUGUUAGUAAGUGUCAAGACUGAUUUCACUCAGGCAACUAAAAUCUGGAUGUGGCACAUAAUUAGAUGACAACUUAUUACAUGCGGUAGCGUGUAGUGGUUAAGAGUCAGAUAAUCUUGGGUUUUCCGUGUCCAGUUCAGCCCCUAACUAACCUCGUGAUCCUGGGUUGUUUAACCUUGUCUUCUGGAGAACUGUGAAAAUAUAUAACUCAUGAAAUUUUGUGAGGAUCACAAGAAAUAACGUGUAUGAAGUGAUCAGGACAGUGUCUAUGCACAGUAAACUCAGUAAAUGCUAACAUUAUUAUGUGCAUAACACCAAGUAAUGGGUGAAGAUUCAAGUUCUGGGACAGCUUAUUUAAUACAACGUCUAGAUGCAUAUUUAGAACACAUCGAUAAUUAUAAUAUAACAUAGCAGAUGAGUCCUGUAAGAGGAACAGAGUACUUUGGAAAUUCAGGAGGGAGAGGUUACAUUUUGCUAGAAUCACAGGGACACGUUCUCUUCAUAGAAUAGUUAUCCCCUGGAGCCCUGAAAACCAACAAUCACACGGGACUCACCUCUCUGAGCGAGGUAGGCCUGCUGGUCAGGGUCACUUGUUCUU